RNAcentral lists this ribosomal RNA (256 nucleotides) under uncultured bacterium. Its description in RNAcentral is "partial 16S ribosomal RNA". It matches the Rfam family "Bacterial small subunit ribosomal RNA", at positions 524 to 776 of the family's 1533-position model. The record is from RNAcentral.
UACGGUAGGGGGCUAGCGUUGUCCGGAAUCAUUGGGCGUAAAGAGCGUGUAGGCGGCCCGGUAAGUCCGCUGUGAAAGUCGGGGGGCUCAACCCUCGAAUGCCGGUGGAUACUGUCGGGCUAGAGUGCGGAAGAGGCGAGUGGAAUUCCUGGUGUAGCGGUGAAAUGCGCAGAUAUCAGGAGGAACACCGAUUGCGAAGGCAGCUCGCUGGGACGUAACUGACGCUGAGGAGCGAAAGCCAUGGGGAGCGAACAGG